CCCUUAGAUGUUCUGGGCUGCACGCGCGCUACACUGAAGCGUUCAACGAGUAUUCACCUUGCCCGGGAGGGUUGGGUAAUCUUUUGAAAACGCUUCGUGAUGGGGAUAGAUUAUUGCAAUUAUUAAUCUUCAACGAGGAAUUCCUAGUAAGCGCGAGUCAUCAGCUCGUGCUGAUUACGUCCCUGCCCUUUGUACACACCGCCCGUCGCUCCUACCGAUUGAGUGAUACGGUGAAUAAUUCGGACUGCAGCACUGCUUGGUCUCCAGGCUUUGCAGCGGAAAGUUUAGUGAACCUUAUCACUUAGAGGAAGGAGAAGUCGUAACA
RNAcentral lists this ribosomal RNA (325 nucleotides) under uncultured eukaryote. Its description in RNAcentral is "partial 18S ribosomal RNA". It matches the Rfam family "Eukaryotic small subunit ribosomal RNA", at positions 1470 to 1796 of the family's 1831-position model. The record is from RNAcentral.